This 492-nucleotide ribosomal RNA is filed under the name uncultured bacterium. RNAcentral describes it as "partial 16S ribosomal RNA". It matches the Rfam family "Bacterial small subunit ribosomal RNA", at positions 29 to 507 of the family's 1533-position model. The record is from RNAcentral.
AGUGAACGCUGGCGGUAGGCCUAACACAUGCAAGUCGAACGGCAGCACAGUAAGAGCUUGCUCUUACGGGUGGCGAGUGGCGGACGGGUGAGGAAUACAUCGGAAUCUACUUUUUCGCGGGGGAUAACGUAGGGAAACUUACGCUAAUACCGCAUACGACCUACGGGUGAAAGCAGGGGAUCUUCGGACCUUGCGCGAUUGAAUGAGCCGAUGUCGGAUUAGCUAGUUGGCGGGGUAAAGGCCCACCAAGGCGACGAUCCGUAGCUGGUCUGAGAGGAUGAUCAGCCACACUGGAACUGAGACACGGUCCAGACUCCUACGGGAGGCAGCAGUGGGGAAUAUUGGACAAUGGGCGCAAGCCUGAUCCAGCCAUACCGCGUGGGUGAAGAAGGCCUUCGGGUUGUAAAGCCCUUUUGUUGGGAAAGAAAAGCAGCAGGUUAAUACCCCGCUGUUCUGACGGUACCCAAGGAAUAAGCACCGGCUAACUUCGUG